AAUAUUUAUCGGCCUCCUCCUCCGCCUCCACUUCCCCUCACACUUUUCAACCGCUUUUUAUAGUUCCCCCUGGCCUCCCCUGCCUCCUUGCUCCCCCACUCCCCGCUUCAACCCUGCGAGAGCAGGCAGCCGGAGCUCGCGCGCGCGCGCGAGGCGCCGAGGCUAGCGGGCGCCAUGGCCCUGGCCGACGCCACCGCCUUCCCCUACGGGCUGCGCGUCCUCGUCGUGGACGACGACCCGACCUGGCUCAAGAUCCUCGAGAAGAUGCUCAGGAAAUGUUCUUACGAAGUAACUACAUGCGGCUUAGCCAGAGUUGCUCUUGAAAUUCUCCGGGAGAGGAGAAACAAGUUUGACAUCGUAAUUAGUGAUGUCAACAUGCCUGACAUGGAUGGUUUCAAGCUUCUUGAACACAUUGGACUUGAGAUGGAUCUACCUGUUCUAAUGAUGUCCAUCGAUGGAGAAACAAGUAGGGUGAUGAAAGGUGUGCAGCAUGGUGCUUGUGACUAUCUCCUUAAGCCUGUUCGAAUGAAGGAACUCCGGAACAUCUGGCAACACGUAUAUCGGAAAAAAAUGCAUGAGGUGAAAGAGAUCGAAGGCCAUGAUAGCUGCGAUGAUCUCCAAAUACUCAGAUGUGAGGGAUUGGAAGAGAGGGGCCUAUUUAUGAGAGUUGACGCCGAUGCCACGAGGAAGAGAAAAGAUGUUGAUAAGGACCAUGCAGAUCCGGAAUCGAGUGAUGGUGCUACUGUUAAGAAGUCUAGAGUUGUCUGGUCUGUUGACCUUCAUCAGAAGUUUGUUAAUGCUGUGAACCAAAUUGGAUUUGACAAAGUUGGGCCGAAGAAAAUAUUGGACCUAAUGAAUGUUCCUGGCCUGACAAGAGAGAAUGUGGCUAGCCAUCUUCAGAAAUAUCGCCUCUACUUGAGUAGGUUGCAAAAGCAGAAUGAGGAAAUGAUAAUGGGUGCUACUAGGCAAGAUUUCAGUCACAAGGGACCAUCAGAUAACCUUAACCUCCGAAGCUCCUUCCAAGAGCAACCAGGCAACGUUGCUAAUGGAUUCCAGCAUGGUUCUCAGAAGAUCCAAGCUCAGGCCAACAUGCUAGAUUCUCAUUUAGAGGACACGAAGAUUGCAGUGCCCUUGCAGGUGCCAGAUAAAAAUAGAACUCCUGUAAGUGAUGUUACUGACUCUCAGAAUGUCACCGGUGCUUCACCUUUAGGUGGGAUGCUCUCUUUUGAAAGAAUUUCAGUAAAUCAGGACAGGAAGCCAUCAGAAACAAUGAUCUUGGGAUGUCAGUCCUGGAGUGGGGGCGUGCCACCAAAGCAGUUCAUGCAAUAUCCAAAGCAUAACCGUGAGCGUUGCGACCUGUUAAGGGACUAUUCAUGCCUACCCAAACCAGACCUAGAGCACCCAGUUGCCCCUGGUCAUCUAUAUACCCCACCACCGGUAAUAUCGAUGAGUUGCAGCAUGGAGGGGGAUGUCAGAGACUUCUCAGAUGUGAAAUCAGGUCUUCUUGGCUGUAUGAAGUCCUUAUCACCGGCAGUGACGUGUACAGUUGAUUCAGUUUCUGUUCAACUUAGUGACAGCGUUGUGACCUCAACUGAUGGUGACCUGAAGUUUUCCAAUGUGGAAGGGUUGCCCAACUUUAAAGUUUCUUACUUCGAUCAGACAAAGAGCCAAGCCACUUUGCUUACUUCAGAAGAUGCAAAUCUCAUAGGAUGCACAGAAAUGGCUUGUCUACCUAAUGACCUGCCCGGUUAUCAACUUCAAGGUGUCUCUUUUGAGAAUAUAGGACUGAAUAGCAUCGAUUUGUUUCAGUACAAUGAUGCAAUGAUACUACCUGGACUACAAAAUAACUGGUAUGAUGAUCUAGAGUUUAGCAGCGAAACAACAGACUACCCGCUGAUAGAUGGAUGCCUAUUUGCAUAAAUGUGUCAGCUGCCCUCAUCUUUCGACCACGUCCUUCGGCGAGGAAGGAUGAUGUUCUUUGAUGCAAGGAUGACAUAUCAGACAUAAUGAAGAGAACAGUGCUAGGCAACAAGAAAAAAAAGUCAAUCCACUAGUUUGCCUACAGACUAGUUCUUCAACUUAAAUCGGGCAAUGACAGCCACUCGCUUGCUGCUGCAUCAACAGGACUGGUCACUUACAAUGGAUAUUCAAUGUCAUGGAGGCCAUGAAAGUGGCAUAUUUAAUGACAUCAUUUUUUAACUGUACAGUAGGGGAAUCCUCUACUGUGUUAGUAUAUUAUUAAAAAAACAAAACAAAAAAGAAAGGAAGCCAGUAUAAAAUUGUACAGGAAGAAGCAGACAUCAAGAGAAAGGAGGAGAGAGAGAAUUAGGGGAGGGAAUCUAUCAAGGAGGUGACGGCUGGGUUUAUUACACUGCUCAUUCUGUACAAAUGUAAAUAGACAAGCGCAGCUCGCUGAAAGAUUUUCCUAUUUCUUUGUUUCCA
RNA transcript from Phragmites australis (common reed), 2442 nucleotides. It is a transcript of the gene named two-component response regulator ORR26-like, with no coding region annotated. Lineage: Eukaryota; Viridiplantae; Streptophyta; Magnoliopsida; Poales; Poaceae. The record is from RefSeq and is a predicted model, not a curated record. The transcript is spliced from 6 exons.